GUUAUUAGAAAUUUGAGUGUUACAAGUAGUAGUGCAAAAUGAGAGGCAAAAGAGAAGGGACGAUGACAAAGAAAAAAAUUAGGAGUACAAGGUGGAGAUAUGGCUGGCAUAAAGGAAGAAAUGGUGGUGUACGGUGGUACGAGUGGUGGUACAAACAAAAAAAGUAGGAAAAAGAAGAAAGAGAGUGGGAGCAAGGAAAAGAGAAAGGGACAGCCAAAGGAGGGAAAAUAUGAGGGGAAAGAAAAGACAAAAGCGAAAAAAUGGGGAAAUAUGUAAACAAAAUAUGACAAAGGGAAAGAUACAAAAUAAAAUGAAAGAGAGGAGAAAGGGAAAGACAAUAUGAGCAAGUUAUGAGUCAACAC
This 362-nucleotide long non-coding RNA is filed under the name Gossypium raimondii (Peruvian cotton). RNAcentral's name for it is "long non-coding RNA (GRAI_LNC003025)". The record is from RNAcentral. Lineage: Eukaryota; Viridiplantae; Streptophyta; Magnoliopsida; Malvales; Malvaceae.